RNAcentral lists this unclassified non-coding RNA (316 nucleotides) under uncultured Thelephoraceae. Its description in RNAcentral is "sequence contains ITS2". Lineage: Eukaryota; Fungi; Basidiomycota; Agaricomycetes; Thelephorales; Thelephoraceae. The record is from RNAcentral.
AACGCACCUUGCGCCCUUUGGCCAUUCCGAAGGGCAUGCCUGUUUGAGUAUCAUGAACACCUCAACUCUCCAUGGUUUUCCGUGAUGAGCUUGGACUUUGGGGGCUUUGCUGGCCUACAGUCAGCUCCUCUAAAAUGAAUCAGCUUGCCAGUGUUUGGUGGGCAUCACAGGUGUGAUAACUAUCUACGCUUGUGGUUUUCCACCAGGUAGCCUUCAGCAGUGGAGGUUCACUGGAGCUCACAGAUGUCUCUCCUCAGUGAGGACAGCCCUUUGAAUGUUUGAUCUCAAAUCAGGUAGGACUACCCGCUGAACUUAA